This 470-nucleotide long non-coding RNA is filed under the name Vulpes vulpes (red fox). RNAcentral's name for it is "lncRNA (ENSVVUG00000005249.1)". Lineage: Eukaryota; Metazoa; Chordata; Mammalia; Carnivora; Canidae. The record is from RNAcentral.
GUGGACUGUAGCCACCUAUGAGCCAUGGAAUGUCCUUAUGCUUUUGGAGUCAACUAAGGAGUCCUAAAAAUCUAAUUUGCAGAGAGAGAGAGAGGAUGAAGCAGAGGUUGUAAGAAGAGUAAGAACUACAGACUAAGAUGUGCCUUGGUUUCUAGGACAGAACAGAGUAUCAGUUACCCAGGGCUUUGGAGCCCCUGACACCAUAGCAGACUCUGACAUCACAGUAGAAAUCAAGGGUAUUGGUACAAGUCAUGCUGCCUAUAUAUCAGCUGCCAGCCUGCCUCCGGGGUAUGUGACACUGAUCAUGCAUGGAACCAGAAGGGACCAGGAGGAAAGUGCUGGUCCAGAAAAGUAGGUUUCUAGAUUCAGCUCUAUACUAACCUUCUGGGUGACUUCAGUUAGUCUGAGGCUCAAUUUCUCCAUUUAUUAAAUUGGGGGUUGGUCUUCACUGGCGGUUUACAUCAAUAAAG